Unclassified non-coding RNA from Pongo abelii (Sumatran orangutan), 148 nucleotides. It matches the Rfam family "Metazoan signal recognition particle RNA". From Rfam's summary of the family: The signal recognition particle (SRP) is a universally conserved ribonucleoprotein. It is involved in the co-translational targeting of proteins to membranes. The eukaryotic SRP consists of a 300-nucleotide 7S RNA and six proteins: SRPs 72, 68, 54, 19, 14, and 9. NCBI's taxonomy places the organism in Eukaryota, Metazoa, Chordata, Mammalia, Primates, Hominidae. The record is from Ensembl.
GCUGGGGGUGGUGGUGCACACCUGUAGUCCCAGCUACUUGGGAGGCUGAGGCAAGAGGAUCACUUGAGCCCAGGAGUUUGAGGCUGCAGUGAGCUAUGAUUGUGCCACUGUAUUCUAGCCUGGACAACAGAGUAAGACCCUGUCUCUA